CUUCACCGACCCCAACCGCAGCGGCUGGUCUGCGGGCCGGUCCUGGCCGUAAGCGGCGAUCAGCGCCUGCGCCUC
RNAcentral lists this antisense RNA (75 nucleotides) under Micromonospora sp. M71_S20. RNAcentral's name for it is "ASpks TB sRNA". It matches the Rfam family "ASpks TB sRNA". Lineage: Bacteria; Bacillati; Actinomycetota; Actinomycetes; Micromonosporales; Micromonosporaceae. The record is from RNAcentral.